CCUAGUAAAGCAAGAACGAAUCCCUUCAAAAUCCUCGACAAGAUUUAGUUAUGCAACUGAAUCACAAGGCAAAAUGAGGAAUCCCACAAUAGAAUAUCCGCCACUUAGUAUCGCAAACUUAAAGCCUCUCAACCUCUUUUGAAUGGAGGGGCCGCCACAAAAAGAACCUAAGCCAGCUCUUAACACCCGCAAGAUCCCCCACCCAACUCUUCCCUUCUCAAAGUAACAAAGGCACAUCCCUUAGGUUCACCACUAUAUUCAAAAUGCAGCCAAAACCUCAGAAAACCAAAACAAGCAGCAAACUAGAAGAAGCAAAUCAUUGACAGCCUCACCAGUAAAAGCACAAAAUCAGCAAUACAGAACCAACAUUAGAGUAUUUGCAACCUGUCUGGAGAGGAGGGAUGGAAAAGAGCUUCCCAGCUGCCCCAUGCCACUUAUUAUCCCGUAGAAAGGAGGGAAGCAGAGGAUUUUGAAUGAAUGAGAGAUUCAACCUUAACUAUAUUGAGAUGGUAGCAACUUUUUUCCUCAACAUUUACCUUACAAUUUGUAUCUCUACAUAAAUAGAAACAAAUUUAAUUUGACAAGAAAAUAUAAAUAAGUGAUUAAAAAACAGAGAGAUGUAUUCCCAACAAUGUGCAUUUCAAAUGCAGUAUAACGAUAAAAUUUUCAAUUUGGUGA
RNAcentral lists this long non-coding RNA (678 nucleotides) under Manihot esculenta (cassava). RNAcentral's name for it is "long non-coding RNA (MESC_LNC002548)". The record is from RNAcentral. Lineage: Eukaryota; Viridiplantae; Streptophyta; Magnoliopsida; Malpighiales; Euphorbiaceae.